AGAACGAACGCUGGCGGCAUGCCUAAUACAUGCAAGUCGAACGAACACUUCGGUGUUAGUGGCGCACGGGUGCGUAACGCGUGGGAAUCUGCCCUUGGGUUCGGAAUAACAGUUGGAAACGACUGCUAAUACCGGAUGAUAUCGAAAGAUCAAAGAUUUAUCGCCCAGGGAUGAGCCCGCGUAGGAUUAGCUAGUUGGUGAGGUAAAGGCUCACCAAGGCGACGAUCCUUAGCUGGUCUGAGAGGAUGAUCAGCCACACUGGGACUGAGACACGGCCCAGACUCCUACGGGAGGCAGCAGUAGGGAAUAUUGGACAAUGGGCGCAAGCCUGAUCCAGCAAUGCCGCGUGAGUGAUGAAGGCCUUAGGGUUGUAAAGCUCUUUACCCGAGAUGAUAAUGACAGUAUCGGGAAGAAUAAGCCCCGGACUAAACUCCCGUGCCAGCACGCCGC
Molecule: ribosomal RNA, 450 nt
Filed under: uncultured soil bacterium
Lineage: Bacteria
Description: bacterial SSU rRNA
Rfam family: Bacterial small subunit ribosomal RNA
Source: RNAcentral